RNAcentral lists this ribosomal RNA (406 nucleotides) under uncultured bacterium. Its description in RNAcentral is "partial 16S ribosomal RNA". It matches the Rfam family "Bacterial small subunit ribosomal RNA", at positions 30 to 526 of the family's 1533-position model. The record is from RNAcentral.
AUUGAACGCUGGCGGCAGGCCUAACACAUGCAAGUCGAACGAGUGGCGGACGGGUGAGACAUGUCUGGGAAACUGCCCGAUGGAGGGGGAUAACUACUGGAAACGGUAGCUAAUACCGCAUACCAUCGGAUGUGCCCAGACGGGAUUAGCUAGUAGGUGGGGUAACGGCUCACCUAGGAGACGAGCCCUAGCUGGUCUGAGAGGAUGACCAGCCACACUGGAACUGAGACACGGUCCAGACUCCUACGGGAGGCAGCAGUGGGGAAUAUUGCACAAUGGGCGCAAGCCUGAUGCAGCCAUGCCGCGUGUAUGAUGAAGGCCUUCGGGUUGUAAAGCACUGUCAGCGGGGAGGCGUUACCCGCAGAAGAAGCCCCGGCUAACUUCGUGCCAGCAGCCGCGGUAAUUC